GGCGUGGAUAGUUAAUUUCUGGAAUGACUGAAGUAAAUAUAAUCAGCUCACUUUAAAAUGAAUUUUUUCAGUGUAAAGUAGCUCUUUGGAAAUUGAGAUGAAGUUUGAUCAGAAAGUAAGGCAGAAGGUAUGUGAAAUAGUAGAAACUGUAGAUGUGAGUAGAAAAAAGUGGGUGGCAAGGGAUAAGGAAGCAUCUAGGAGGUCCGCCCAGAAUUCUGAGAAAGAGACCAGACCAUAAUAAAACGGAACAUAGAGAAAGGAGGACCUCAGAGCACAAAAAAUGCAAUUUUAAUUUGAUUUCAAGGCAACCUGAGUGUUACUGCAACAUCGGAAAAAAGAACAAACUUGGUCUUACAAACAUAAAAAAAAGAUUCAAAACCAACCGAAAAGAGACCUGGUUCGCCCACAAACGAUUAAGGAACACUUCUACCUACAGCCCGCUGCCGAUCCACAGGCACUAUGAAAGCUUUUCUGCUGGAAUACUUUCGCCUGUCUGUUGCAGAAGAAACCAUCACUGCUUAAUAGGAAAGUAGUACUUCUGUUAUGGUUGAGUUUAAAAUGUGCUUUUUAGAGGCAUCAUCUCUCAGAGACCAACUCAUGCAUGUGUUCAGAGAGGGUCUUAAUUGGUGCAUGAUUUACUACAUGAAGCAAAACUUUGCUUGGACAGGCUGAAAGACUAUGGUGAGGAAGAGCCCUUUAUACAGUUUUAUAGGCCUGUCUUCUCACUGGGAACAUAUAUUUACUAAUUGUAUAAUUGGUGGCACAGUUCUUCCAUCAUAAACAUUGUUAUCAGUUAAUUAAACUUGAAAUGCAGCUUUGUUCCACAACAUGUUUUGUCAGAUUGUUUUCCUUAUUUAUUUAUCAUCAUAAAAUUUUACUUGGUGACUGGCAGCUUCUCAGCCCUCCAAUAAUAAUAUAAAUCAAAACAUAAGAUUUUAGUCUUCAUGCAAUUUCCUUUUGGUCUGAAAAUAUGAAACCAGAUGUUUUUGGCAU
Molecule: long non-coding RNA, 993 nt
Filed under: Papio anubis (olive baboon)
Lineage: Eukaryota; Metazoa; Chordata; Mammalia; Primates; Cercopithecidae
Description: lncRNA (ENSPANG00000045018.1)
Source: RNAcentral